UACAGAGGUGGCAAGCGUUGUUCGGAAUUACUGGGCGUAAAGGGCGCGUAGGCGGUUUGCCAAGUCCCGUGUGAAAGCCCUCGGCUCAGCCGAGGAACGGCGCGGGAAACUAGCAGGCUCGAGUUCGGGAGAGGGAAGCGGAAUUCCGGGUGUAGCGGUGAAAUGCGCAGAUAUCCGGAGGAACACCGGUGGCGAAGGCGGCUUCCUGGACCGACACUGACGCUGAGGCGCGAAAGCUGGGGGAGCAAACGGG
This 253-nucleotide ribosomal RNA is filed under the name uncultured bacterium. RNAcentral's name for it is "partial 16S ribosomal RNA". It matches the Rfam family "Bacterial small subunit ribosomal RNA", at positions 524 to 776 of the family's 1533-position model. The record is from RNAcentral.